GAGCUGCUGGAUUUCUCAAGAGACUUAUCCGGCCGGCUACAGACCCUUUAGACCCAAUAAUAACGGUUACCACUCGAGCCGCCGGUGUUACCGCGGCGGCUGGCACCGGUCUUGCCCGGCCCUUGCUAUGCAAUGCUUUUUAGGCAUCACGACAGCCAGAUUUGUAACCUGGCACUCGAGGUCCCCUUAUCGCCGUUGCCGGCAUUGUAAAGUUUUCGCGCCUGCUGCACCCCGUAGGGCCUGGAUUCGUGUCUCAGAAUCCAUCUCCGGGCUCUUGCUCUCACAACCCGUACCCGUCGUAGGCUAGUAGGUACGCUACACCCACUACUACCUGAUAGGCCGCAGACCCAUCCUCUGGCGCCGGAGCUUUCGAUCUCGGGGCAUUCCAGCGACCGAGAUCUAUCGGGGAUUAUACCCAGUUUCCCGGGUUUAUACCCGUCCGGAGGGUAGGUUGUCCACGUGUUACUGAGCAGUACGCCAUGUAUUGCUACAUUCGACUC
RNAcentral lists this ribosomal RNA (500 nucleotides) under uncultured archaeon. RNAcentral's name for it is "partial 16S ribosomal RNA". The record is from RNAcentral.